RNAcentral lists this ribosomal RNA (378 nucleotides) under uncultured bacterium. RNAcentral's name for it is "bacterial SSU rRNA". It matches the Rfam family "Bacterial small subunit ribosomal RNA", at positions 521 to 896 of the family's 1533-position model. The record is from RNAcentral.
UAAUACGUAGGGCGCAAGCGUUAUCCGGAAUUAUUGGGCGUAAAGAGCUCGUAGGCGGUUUGUCGCGUCUGCUGUGAAAGACCGGGGCUCAACUCCGGUUCUGCAGUGGGUACGGGCAGACUAGAGUGCAGUAGGGGAGACUGGAAUUCCUGGUGUAGCGGUGAAAUGCGCAGAUAUCAGGAGGAACACCGAUGGCGAAGGCAGGUCUCUGGGCUGUAACUGACGCUGAGGAGCGAAAGCAUGGGGAGCGAACAGGAUUAGAUACCCUGGUAGUCCAUGCCGUAAACGUUGGGCACUAGGUGUGGGGGACAUUCCACGUUUUCCGCGCCGUAGCUAACGCAUUAAGUGCCCCGCCUGGGGAGUACGGCCGCAAGGCUA